UCNCUGCUGCCACUAAGGGCCAUGAUGU
RNAcentral lists this non-coding RNA (28 nucleotides) under Mus musculus (house mouse). Lineage: Eukaryota; Metazoa; Chordata; Mammalia; Rodentia; Muridae. The record is from RNAcentral.